Molecule: non-coding RNA, 635 nt
Organism: Cinara cedri
Lineage: Eukaryota; Metazoa; Arthropoda; Insecta; Hemiptera; Aphididae
Source: the annotation of a GenBank genome assembly
AACAAUAACAUAGAUUAACAUUAUACAAAUGGAUGAAGAAAUGUGGCUCAUCGCUGACUUAUUAAAUUCAAAAAAAAGUCCAUUAAACGUGUUAGUUAGAGGCUAAAAGACAUGGCCCAGAGUCAACUUAGGAGACUCAAUUUUAAGUUUUACCAAUAUUAUGAUAGUCAAAAAGAAUCAUCAAAAAUUAAUGAUCAAGCCAACUGUAUUGCACCAUGUGGUGAAAUCGUUGAAAGUUUUUUGAACAAUUAAACCGUUUUUAUUGUAUGCUUUAAUAUGAUAAAAUAAAUUAUUUGAGUACCUAACUAUUGUUAAUUUUUGAGACUGUAUGUUUACAAUACGUCAUUUCUAAUCAAUAAAUGAUAAUGGCGGCGUAUACGACAAGGAUUCUCGAGAAUUGUUUCUGUUUGCUUUCGUGUAUCGGAGUUUAAGUGGGUAUAUAAAUAUAACUUCACGUAUCACCGCUGGAAGUUAUUUUGCGUGGAAUUCAAUGGACGUGUAAAACUAUUUGAGUUUUACGAUUUAUUUGUUAUAUAUUGAUGUCAUAGUAACUGAAUAAGAAAAUAACACGAUUGAUGAUAGUAAAGAUGGUCUUUACUUUCGAUUGUUAAAUUAUUGGAUAAUAUAAUCUUACU